AGAGUUUGAUCAUGGCUCAGGAUGAACGCUAGCUACAGGCUUAACACAUAGCAAGUCGAGGGCAGCAUGGUCUUAGCUUGCUAAGGCCGAUGGCGACGGCGCACGGUGAGUAACACGUAUCCAACCUGCCGUCUACUCUUGGACAGCCUUCUGAAAGGAAGAUUAAUACAAGAUGGCAUCAUGAGUUCACAUGUUCACAUGAUUAAAGGUUUUCCGGUAGACGAUGGGGAUGCGUUCCAUUAGAUAGUAGGCGGGGUAACGGCCCACCUAGUCUUCGAUGGAUAGGGGUUCUGAGAGGAAGGUCCCCCACAUUGGAACUGAGACACGGUCCAAACUCCUACGGGAGGCAGCA
This 352-nucleotide ribosomal RNA is filed under the name uncultured bacterium. RNAcentral describes it as "bacterial SSU rRNA". It matches the Rfam family "Bacterial small subunit ribosomal RNA", at positions 8 to 353 of the family's 1533-position model. The record is from RNAcentral.